CCUCGCUCCGCCCCGUCUCUGGGACGAGUGGUCGCGCGGCACUGCCGUGCGGGAUGAGAUGUAGUCCCGCCUCUGGGGCCGUGCCCAGAAACGCGGCUCGAGGGGCGGUAAUUGUUGCUCCUUUCUGCUCGUUGUGCGUGGUUUUUUUUUUUUUUUUGUUUUUUUUUUUGUUGUUGUUUGUUUGUUUUUUUAUUGCAGGCUGGUGUUUGUCUGCCUGUGGUUUUGCGGGGCCUUUCACCCGCGCUGUUAUGUGGUGCUUUGUUUCUGCGCUCUCAGCUUCUGUGGGAUGUGUGAAUCCCCAUUACCUGACAGGUGAAGAAUUAAACCCUGGGGUGGAGCAUAGCUUGGGGACCAGGCUAUUUCUACAACUGUACUGCAAAUUCAGUCAUGGAACAGAUCUACUCUGAAAUGAGAAAGGAGCAUGAAGAAGUCAACCUAAUAUUCAUUAUGACCAUUUCAUACUGGGAAGCCAUGUCCUAAAGGAAAUGCAGAUGGAUUACACCUUUUGUAUCCCAGAAGACAGUGCACAUCUUCUGGGACGUGCACUACUCACUGAGGGCUGUUUCUUGAACCUUUUCUUCACUGAGGAAUUCACAUGUCACUACUCUGUGAACUGCUGUUUUUUUUACCUCUGGCUUGUAGUGAUGACUCCACAUCUCAUCACCAGUAAUCAUGUGAUCCAGGAAUCUGCCACCUUCAGCCUCUUAAUGGUUCGAUACAUCCAGAAAAACUUGCAUAUAGUGUUCUUUUUGUUCCCAUGUGUACAUUCAUGGGACCCACUCAGCACAGACUUUGUGAUAUUCCAACAUUGUUGCUAUCAUUUCCAGUGCAUUCAAAUCAAUAUUCAGCCGUGUACACAGUUCCCUGGUUUUAAUCUGCUGAUUUGUGUGGGUGAGCUGAUCAAGAUGCUGUUCAGUUAAUGACGUGACAGCUGUGCAUGGCAGUUUGGUACAUGGCUUGUCUUUAAUGUUGCUGUUGCCACUGCUGAAACAUGCCACCCACUGCCUCACUGCGCUCACAUCCAAUGUCC
Long non-coding RNA from Gallus gallus (chicken), 1030 nucleotides. Lineage: Eukaryota; Metazoa; Chordata; Aves; Galliformes; Phasianidae. The record is from Ensembl.